AGGUUAAAGUUACACGUUUGGACAGCUUUCAAAGCCAACUUUCAAGCAGAGAAUUAUCUUAGCAGCCAGAAAGCUGUCCUUUCCUUCACCCUCUCCCAGCACCGUGCAAGAGAAGAAGUAAGAGGAACAUCUGGCAAGCUUACCUCAUUCCUUCGCUGGCUCCUUGAAGGCCAUCAUCACAGGAGGGUGCUCAUAGCCUUCACAGAAACCUUCACAGCUCACCAACAGAGCCUCUGCCUGUCCCCAAGAGUGGCAGAGCCCUGCCCUGUCCUUCUCCUCUCUAGGCCUGGGCAGCGCGGCCGGAGCAGAGCCCAGGGAGAUGCCUCCCAGACCCGGCACCAGCUGAGGGAGAUCCCCAUCGCAGCCAGCGGCAAAACAAGGCUGGGAAUUCCAGUCCCAGGGUCAGAAACCAGUCCCCAGUCCAGGCUGCAGGACUUUUCCCAGCUCCACGCUCAAAGACAAACAAAGGUCUGGGGUAGCCAACACUGUCUGACUGACAACGGCACGGAGAGCAGCUGGACUCUUGGAUUGAAAGACCUUCCUGGCAAGAGGAGGGGGCUUUGAUGUGCUGCAAACCAGACCAACUGCAGUCACUGCCCGCAGGCUUGCAGAUAUUCUCAGAAUGAGAAUGGGAACUCCGUUGACAAUGAGUACUUGGUGACGCAUGGGAAUACCUACACUUUUCCAAGCACCUCCAAACUCCAAGUCUGCAUAGCCACUACCAGCUUCUCUGCCAAGGCAACAGCAAGGCUGAGCAGAGCCUCUCAACCCACCCAACACUGACCCUGAGCUCAUGGGAGAGUGGAAAUGGCAAUUGCAUACAAUUGCUUUACAGCCCUUCCUUCUGCCCCAUCUCACAUAACGGACUGUUUAUACGAAACAACCAGAAAAGACAGUAUAUUUUUCUUCAAAAGAUUCUUCUGAGGAAAAAACACAUAAGAAAAAUUUACUCUGACUGGAGGUAUGUGAGCUAUGAGAGUGUCUACACCAGGCAGCCAAAUUGGCAGGCUACAAGUACCUAGGCUGGAUCUCCAUAUUUGCUCAUGGUAUGUUCUUUGCAUGCUCCUCUGACUAUUCCUUUCAGCUGCUGCCUCUGGAGCCUCAUCCAGUGCUACUUAGAUUGAAAUAUCUACAUAACUAAGGAGGAAAAAAGGCUACUGAAAAAAGGAAAUUACAGGAGGAACACUGCAAGAGAAAAAUCAUACCUUAAAUGCCAUUUAAUUAAAUAUUGUGUUAUUUUCAUGAUAAGAACCUUCUCAUGCCUACGAAAAUCAUCUUAUCAGGAUCCGGAAGGAGAUCAGUAGACAACAACAACAUUGCAAAGCAACACAUGAGAACUCUACUAAAGUCAGAACUAAACACUCCUCCACAGAGCUCCCAUCAGCAUAAACCUGAUGACAAGAGCUGGAAUCCUUUCAGAUGAUAUUCAGAAAAAUAAGCAAAGCUCUUCAGAGGGUUUAAUGCCAAAUUGCAUUGUUUGGUGCAGGUAAUUACACACUAGUUUACAUCUAUCAAACACCUAACUAUGAAUUUUGAUUUAUUCUCAGAAUUCUGAUUUCAGUCAAGACGUUCUGGCCUUUCAGUAUAUGCUUUUGUCUUCCAG
This 1603-nucleotide long non-coding RNA is filed under the name Calidris pugnax (ruff). Its description in RNAcentral is "lncRNA (ENSCPUG00000005711.1)". The record is from RNAcentral. Lineage: Eukaryota; Metazoa; Chordata; Aves; Charadriiformes; Scolopacidae.